CUGUAUGUCAAACAUGAUAUCGGCUUGAAGCUAGACAAAGAAAUCGUUGCAUUUAGUACUCUAAAGGCAUCUCAUUUUCUAAAAUGAAUCAAAUAAUCUGGAAUGACACACAUGUUUUUUUUAAGGAUAUAGGUAGAUUUACCCAGAAAGUGUCUAUGAAUGCCUUUUCUCAUUGAUCCACUCAGCUCCAAGUAGAAAGGUCCCGUACCAGCGGACGCAUCCACACGUGCUCCUGCGUGGAAGCUGCUCUGCCGACGUCGUACAAGUUGCUCUGGGUCCCGGAGCUCCGGUGCAAAAUCCGCCGGUACAGACACAUGUACGGCAAUCAGGAUGAGUGAGAAGAAAGCCGCUUGCAUGAUCAACGGGAGAUGCCGUGCUCUCUUUACUCCAUACAGAAUAAGUGUUUCAGAGGCAGAGGAGAGAGGAUGAAGGGACAGCAGAAGAUGUGAAAGGAUGAUGGAGACGCUGAUUCAGCUUUACUUGUCUGUGUCCGUGAUUCAGAAAAGAAGGGUAAAGAGGGGCCGCAAGUAGGAAUUCAAGGCACCGCCACCCUCAUGACGAAGCAAGAAGAAGAAAAAAACCUCCGCCAUAUUUGCAAGUGCUCUAGUCGCCCUGACGGUGACAGAGACAAUCAAACACAAGAGGAUGGGGAAGCGCUCAAGUCCUUGAUGGACGACAACGGAAACUCUUUCGGAUGAACCGUCACAGGGCAAGGACUCAACCAAUUCCAGCGAGCACCCAUAUAAACUGAGGGGAUUAAACGACGCCUCUCCGUCCCCUUCAUUUCACAAAAUGAAAAAAGAAAAAAUCAUAAAAGCAGCAAAGAAUGGCAUUUCCACAAUUUCUAAUAUAAAGGAAGCUACCCAAAUAUACAUAUAAAGUUUGAAUAAAUACUAUCAGAUAUAG
This is a long non-coding RNA of Perca flavescens (yellow perch), 906 nucleotides long. RefSeq lists it as uncharacterized. Lineage: Eukaryota; Metazoa; Chordata; Actinopteri; Perciformes; Percidae. The record is from RefSeq and is a predicted model, not a curated record. The transcript is spliced from 4 exons.